UCCCUGGUGGUCCAGUGGUUAAGACACCACCCUCCCAAUGAAGGGGCCCGGGUUCAACCCCCGGCCAAGGAA
This 72-nucleotide transfer RNA is filed under the name Ovis aries (sheep). It matches the Rfam family "tRNA". From Rfam's summary of the family: Transfer RNA (tRNA) molecules are approximately 80 nucleotides in length. Their secondary structure includes four short double-helical elements and three loops (D, anti-codon, and T loops). Lineage: Eukaryota; Metazoa; Chordata; Mammalia; Artiodactyla; Bovidae. The record is from Rfam by way of RNAcentral.